GAACAAUUAGAAAUCAAACAUUAGUUCAUGUUUACAGAAUAAAUAUCAUGACAAGUGGCAGACCGGAAGUUUUUGAUUCUGAUGUCACAUCAUAAUAAUCAUGGAUACAAAGCAAUUGAUAUUCACACCAUUUUAGAGCUCAGCAAGACAGAGGACUUCUUUUUGAAUAGCAACAGGGUUGCCAGUAUGUGUGUUGAUUGUGUAAAAAAAUAUCCCAUUAAGAAAAUGCAGUCACCUCGAUAACCAGAGGAAACAACACCAUUU
This 264-nucleotide unclassified non-coding RNA is filed under the name Hevea brasiliensis (rubber tree). Lineage: Eukaryota; Viridiplantae; Streptophyta; Magnoliopsida; Malpighiales; Euphorbiaceae. The record is from RNAcentral.